GAGAGAGAUAGAGAGGGAGAGAGAAACAUCGAUGUGAGAGAGAAACAUCCGUCAGGUGCUUCCCAUACAUGCUCUG
Long non-coding RNA from Myotis brandtii (Brandt's bat), 76 nucleotides. RefSeq lists it as uncharacterized. The record is from RefSeq and is a predicted model, not a curated record. The transcript has 3 exons. NCBI's taxonomy places the organism in Eukaryota, Metazoa, Chordata, Mammalia, Chiroptera, Vespertilionidae.